This 1278-nucleotide long non-coding RNA is filed under the name Neogale vison (American mink). Its description in RNAcentral is "Neovison vison (American mink) lncRNA (ENSNVIG00000007195.1)". Lineage: Eukaryota; Metazoa; Chordata; Mammalia; Carnivora; Mustelidae. The record is from RNAcentral.
CGGGAGGCGGGAGGGAGGGCAGGCGGGCUCUCCUCUCCAGGCCAGCGCUAGGUCCGGGAGAUCCGCCCCCAGCUUCGUCCCGAUCCUUUGGGGAGUCCUGCGCCACACGCCACAGCAUGUGUGGCUGGUAAAGGCUCUGAGGGGCCCGCUGCGUGGAAACCAGUUCCCGUCUCCUGCUCUAAGGCCGUGGCUCUCCUCUUUUCUGGAGGAAAGCGUCCUCUGCUCCCUUCCCCACCCUGCCCAGCGCCCUUGCCCUGCACUGCGCGGCCUGGCCGGGGCCACCAUGUUUCCCAGGCGGUCAGAGGCUGCGGAGGGAGAAUCUGCUGGAGGAGCAUCUAGGCGGCCCCAGGCACCAAGCAGCGGGUGUGCCUGUUUCCUGGGGAAGCCGGACGACAGCUCCACAAGCUUGACAUCUCAAAGCAACAGAAAUGCGUGGUCUGUGGGUUCGGGAGACUGCCGCCUGGAUCACAGCUCCUCCCGGGUCCCUGGGCGGGACGUCUCCUGUCUUCGGCUCCUGGAGGCCCCAGGCUCUCUUGGCUUUUCUGUCUCCAGGGUCAUGACUUUCCCUGUACCAGGUCAGGUCUCCCUCUGCCUCCCCUGACAAGGACCUUCGUGAUCACAUUUAGGGCCUCCCCAGGGUAACCCCGGACAAUCUUCCCAUCUGAUGUCACCGUAUUGGCAGCAUCCUUUCUGGCCACAGAAGGUGACAUUCACAAGCUCCAGGGAUCAGGACAGGGACACCUUUUGGGGUCUGUGGGUGGGAUUAAAUACUUGGAGACUCUCAAGUCAUUUGAGGACAGGGGCAGCUCUGGGCCCCUCCUGGGGUGCGGUCAUGGUCUGGCCCAGAGCUUCGCGUCGAUCCCAGGAACCUCGGAUCACGACGCUUCACGGACUGAGCCACUCAGACACCUCUGAUCUCGGUUUUGUUACUCAUCUUGCUAAAUUCACCCCUGGCCCCUAGACCUGGUACCCCAAAGCCCAGGGACUGUCCUGUCCACCCAUGAGAGAGGGUUUAUGUGGACUCAGGGAGGACUUCUGUAUUAGACAGGCUUCUCUACAACCGAUGGCAAGGAUGGGCUCGCGGAACUACCAAGGCGGGAUAAAUCCAAAAUGUGGGGGGCGCGCUGGGUGGCCAGAGACCCGGGGAGGGGGGUCGCCAGAGUCCACAGGCCGUCUGCCGGAGAGGGCCCUGCUCAGAGGUCAACCUGUUCCCCUCAAGCCUUCUCGGGUGGGCAGAGGCCCGCUGUCUCAGGCCCCCGGGCCGCUGUAACAAGACAG